This 811-nucleotide ribosomal RNA is filed under the name uncultured bacterium. RNAcentral describes it as "bacterial SSU rRNA". It matches the Rfam family "Bacterial small subunit ribosomal RNA", at positions 8 to 796 of the family's 1533-position model. The record is from RNAcentral.
AGAGUUUGAUCCUGGCUCAGAACGAACGCUGGCGGCGUGCCUAACACAUGCAAGUCGAACGGAAGUAAGRAGCUUGCUUUUUACUUUAGUGGCGCACGGGUGAGUAACGCGUGGAUAAUCUGCCUGAUGCUCUGGGAUAACAUCUCGAAAGGGGUGCUAAUACCGGAUAAGCCCACGGGAUCUUCGGAUCUUGCGGGAAAAGGAGGGGACCUUCGGGCCUUCCGACAUUAGAUGAGUCCGCGUCCCAUUAGCUAGUUGGUGGUGUAAUGGACCACCAAGGCGACGAUGGKUAGCUGGUCUGAGAGGAUGAUCAGCCACACUGGAACUGAGACACGGUCCAGACUCCUACGGGAGGCAGCAGUGGGGAAUUUUGCGCAAUGGGGGAAACCCUGACGCAGCAACGCCGCGUGAGUGAUGAAGGCCCUUGGGUCGUAAAGCUCUGACAGAGGGAAAGAAAUGUAGGGGAGCUAAUAUCUCCUUUACUUGACGGUACCCUCAAAGGAAGCACCGGCUAACUCCGUGCCAGCAGCCGCGGUAAUACGGGGGGUGCAAGCGUUGUUCGGAUUUAUUGGGCGUAAAGCGCGUGUAGGCGGUUUUGUAAGUCUGAUGUGAAAGCCCUGGGCUCAACCCGGGAAGUGCAUUGGAUACUGUAAGACUUGAAUACGGGAGAGGGCAGUGGAAUUCCUAGUGUAGGAGUGAAAUCCGUAGAUAUUAGGAGGAACACCGGUGGCGAAGGCGGCUGCCUGGACCGAUAUUGACGCUGAGACGCGAAAGCGUGGGUAGCAAACAGGAUUAGAUACCCUGGUAGUCC